AAGGAAGAUGUUAACCAGACAGAUCACGAGAAUUCUCCUUUAAUAUUACACAGUGUUUUACAAAGUACCAAACUUUAAAAAGAUAUUAGCUUGUGAUAACAUGUAAUAAAUAACUUCAAAAUGCAAUGGGUAUUUAAUUUUAAUGCCU
This is a long non-coding RNA of Pipistrellus kuhlii (Kuhl's pipistrelle), 148 nucleotides long. RefSeq lists it as uncharacterized. NCBI's taxonomy places the organism in Eukaryota, Metazoa, Chordata, Mammalia, Chiroptera, Vespertilionidae. The transcript is spliced from 3 exons. The record is from RefSeq and is a predicted model, not a curated record.